RNAcentral lists this ribosomal RNA (254 nucleotides) under uncultured bacterium. Its description in RNAcentral is "partial 16S ribosomal RNA". It matches the Rfam family "Bacterial small subunit ribosomal RNA", at positions 524 to 776 of the family's 1533-position model. The record is from RNAcentral.
UACGAAGGGGGCUAGCGUUGCUCGGAAUCACUGGGCGUAAAGGGUGUGUAGGCGGUUGUUUAAGUUUGGUGUGAAAUCUCCCGGCUCAACUGGGAGGGUGCGCCGAAUACUGAAUGACUUCGAGUGCGGGAGAGGAGAGUGGAAUUCCUGGUGUAGCGGUGAAAUGCGUAGAUAUCAGGAGGAACACCGGUGGUGUAGACGGCUCUCUGGACCGUAACUGACGCUGAGACACGAAAGCGUGGGUAGCAAACAGG